AUGCCCAAAAGGGUUACAGCGCUUCCCCGCCGCCGUUUCAGCCCAGCUGCCCCAUCCCAAAUCAGUCUCUCCUCGGUCUCUCUCCUCCGUGCGCCGCCACCCCCGCCGCCACGGCGCCUGCCGGUGAACCCCUCCGUUGGCGACCAUCGCGCUCGCCACCGCCCUCCCCACCGCUCGGCUCCUCCUGCGCGGGCGCAUGGCCUCCUCCGCCUCCGUUGCGGUCCUCACCGCACCCCCCUUUCCCACUUGCCCCUCCUCCGACGACUCUGACGACGCCAAGCCCCUCCCGCCUCCACCCACGUCGGGAGAAACCCGCCCUCCUCCGCAGCAUCAGCAGAGGCCGCGGUGGUGGCAGCUGGAGCGCGACUGCAACGUGGCCAUGAAGGCCCUGGCGCGUGCGGGCGAAGUCGACCAGGUGCUCGCCCUCUUCACCGAGCUCAGGGCUUCCAGAACCGGCCCGGGUGGUGCCUCGCCGCCCAGUGUGCUCUGCUACAACACUCUCGUCAACGCGCUCGCAGAAGCUGGCCGCGUGGAGGAGGCCCACAACGCGUUCGACGAAAUGCUUGCAACAGGGGUGGCGCCCAAUGCAUCGUCCCUCAACAUCCUUGUCAAGCUGCAUUCGUGGAGAUCUGCGCGGUUUGACCUCGCGUACCAGGUGAUCAUCCGGUUACAAGAGCUCGGGGUGGAAGCUGACGUGGGCACCUACUCCACGCUUGUCACGGGGCUGUGCCGUGUGGGGAGAGUGAGCGAGGCAUGGGGCGUGCUCGAGUGGAUGCUGGAAGUGGGGUGCCGUCCCAUGGUGCAAACUUACACGCCCAUUGUGCAGGGGUAUUGCCGUGAAGGUCGUGUCGACGAGGCCAAGGAGCUGAUGUCCACGAUGGAAAGUGCUGGUUGUCCUCCCAAUGUAGUCACCUACAAUGUUCUGAUCAGGGCUUUGUGUGAUGCUGCCAGAUUUGACGAAGUCAGGCAGGUUUUAAUGGAUAGUAGAACCAAGGAUUGGAAACCAAGUACUGUCACCUACAACACAUUUAUGAAUGGUCUCUGCAAGAAAGGUAUGGCUAAGGAAGCACUUGAGCAGUUGGAUGUUAUGCUAGGCGAAGGGCUGGAUCCCACAGAUUUCACUUUGAGUAUUCUUCUGAAUUGCCUUAGCCAUGACAAGAGGAUUCAUGAUGCCGUAUGCUUGCUGGAGAGGAACACAUCAUUGAAAUGCUAUGCUGGUGUUGUUGCAUACAACACUGUGAUGAGCAGGUUAGGUGAAAUGGGACAUUGGAUGGGUGUUCUAAAGUUGUUGACAGACAUGAUCAAGAGAGGUGUCAUGCCAAACACGAGGACGUUCAACAUUGUCAUUCGUAGUCUUUGCUUUCGCCGAAAGUUCUCCAUAGCCAAGAGCCUCGCAAGUAACCAAGGUUUUGCUGCAAAUGUCGUGACAUACAAUACACUCAUUUAUUUUGUUUUUUACUACAGUCGAAAGCUCAUUGAGGUGAAGGACCUAAUAUUUGACAUGACAGCAGUGAGGAUUGCUCCAGAUGAAGUUACCUACACUAUAAUCGUUGAUGGAUUAUGCAGAGAUGGAUUUUUUGAUACAGCCACUAGUUACUUUCUAGAAUCGCUUGAGAUUGGACUGUCAAGGGAUCUUUUUGCUGUCCUUACAAACAGGCUUGCUCACAAUGGCAAGAUCUGGGAGACUAUUCACAUAUUCAAGGGAAUGGAAGAAAAAGGUUUUAUCCCUGAUAAUUCUAUAUUUGACCUCACAAUCAGAAUAUUCUGUAGGGCUGGUUAUUGUCACGACACAGAUAUGUUUAAGCUUAACUUUGUUCUAGAUACGAUGUUGGGCAAGCAGUGAACUGAACCCUUGUGUAUCUAGGAAAGCCGACAAUAAUUGAAGACAUGAAUGAAGAGUCGACAUUACUAAAGAUACUGACACAUGUUGUGUCUGGCUUUUAUAACACUCUGUACAUGGUACAAAGAUGGCCACAUGCCUGUUCAUGUUAACAUAUUCCACACUGCCACUCGACAGAUGAAGUCUAACUGCUUUGUAAUCAGCAACAUGCUGCACAGGUGGGAUUCGAAUGUAACUCAAACACGUGCUUUUACUGCACCUGUCUUUUGUGAGUGUAAUCUUGCUGGGUGUCUGGGUCUUUCCGGUAAUUUGUGUAGCAGACACAUGACUCUUAAUAGGACUCAGAUGACCAUGAAGUUUUGAAAUCAAUAUAUUUUUCAUCUUUAUUAUCUUGUUUGAAGGAUUCUUGUUAUCUGGUUCAGAUGAAAUUUGAUUAGCGAGGUGCUGGGAUUGCUAUGUGUAUUCUUCUCUAUCUACAAUAGGUAGAGUGCAUAUAGCAUCAGGUGUUGGGGUUACUCUACAUGGAGCUCUUUAUAGAAGACAGAGAAAAGUGGCAGGGUAUAGCAGCAAAGGCCAGCAAUCUCCGUCUCACCCUUCCGGACGCUCUAGCACACAUUUACUCCUGCGAGCUAGGGUUUGGUUAGGCAGUGGGCCUUGACCAGUAAAGCCGUGACCGACCUUGACCUAUCCAGUUCACAAACAAGGAUUCAUGUUCAUGGGGGCGCUUACUCAGAGGGUUGUGCGUGCUUCUAUCAAUGCAUCAAGUCGCAAAGCUUCUGCAUUUCCUCUCUGAAGGACCAAAACAGUGUCUUGGUAGCUUACUUGAGCUAUAUGAAGCGAUGCCAUUUUUGUUGUGUUUUGAAUGAUUUCUAAUAUUGUUUUUACUUGUCGGUAUCAGCGUAGUCAACCUUCCAGACAUGCAAGUAUUGCGGCGAGGUUCUGUUUUAAAUGAUUGCCAUGGCAGGUUAAUCUUUUCCGUUUCCUAACAUGCCUCGUCCACUUGGAUGUAUGCCUUCCUUUUGCCGAAUUGUAUGUAGACUUGCAGGAAUGAAUAUAUUAUGGCAUGAGCAAUGUUGAUUA
Molecule: RNA transcript, 2920 nt
Organism: Triticum aestivum (bread wheat)
Lineage: Eukaryota; Viridiplantae; Streptophyta; Magnoliopsida; Poales; Poaceae
Gene name: pentatricopeptide repeat-containing protein At1g09900
Exons: 6
Source: RefSeq, a predicted model, not a curated record